This 515-nucleotide ribosomal RNA is filed under the name uncultured fungus. RNAcentral's name for it is "eukaryotic LSU rRNA". The stretch from base 148 to 301 matches the Rfam family "5.8S ribosomal RNA". The record is from RNAcentral. Lineage: Eukaryota; Fungi.
UCCCAACCAUUGCGAACCUACCCGUCGUCGUUGCUUCGGCGGGCGUCCCCUCCCUGGGGACGCGGCCCCUCGGGGUGCCCGCCGGCGGCCUACCAGACUCUUUUUGUAUUCUAGUGGACUCUCUGAGAAAACAAGCAAAUAAGUUAAAACUUUCAACAACGGAUCUCUUGGUUCUGGCAUCGAUGAAGAACGCAGCGAAAUGCGAUAAGUAAUGUGAAUUGCAGAAUUCAGUGAAUCAUCGAAUCUUUGAACGCACAUUGCGCCCGCCAGUAUUCUGGCGGGCAUGCCUGUCCGAGCGUCAUUUCAACCCUCAAGCCCUGCUUGGUGUUGGGGUCCUACGGCUGCCGUAGGCCCUGAAAGCUAGUGGCGGGCUCGCUACCACUCCGAGCGCAGUAAUGUAUCUCGCUAGGGACGUGGGCGCGGGCUCCGGCCGUUAAACCCCCCAAUUUUUACAAGGUUGACCUCGGAUCAGGUAGGAAUACCCGCUGAACUUAAGCAUAUCAAUAAGCGGAGGA